AUGAAUAAUGUGGAAAUUGAGCAAGUUGAGGUGACUAAACUGCUUGGAGUAACCCUCGAUGGUAAACUGUCAUGGUCAAAGCAUACUGAUACAACAGUAGCUAAGAUGGGGAGAAGUCUGUCCAUAAUAAAGUGCUACUCUGCCUUCUUAACAACACUAUCAACAAGGCAGGUCCUACAGGCCCUAGUUUCUACCUUCUUAACAACGCUAUCAACAAGGCAGGUCCUACAGGCCCUAGUUUCUACCUUCUUAACAACGCUAUCAACAAGGCAGGUCCUACAGGCCAUAGUUUCUACCUUCUUAACAGCACUAUCAACAAGGCAGGUCCUACAGGCCCUAGUUUCUACCUUCUUAACAACGCUAUCAACAAGGCAGGUCCUACAGGCCCUAGUUUCUACCUUCUUAACAACGCUAUCAACAAGGCAGGUCCUACAGGCCCUAGUUUCUACCUUCUUAACAACACUAUCAACAAGGCAGGUCCUACAGACCCUAGUUUCUACCUUCUUAACAACGCUAUCAACAAGGCAGGUCCUACAGGCCCUAGUUUCUACCUUCUUAACAACACUAUCAACAAGGCAGGUCCUACAGACCCUAGUUUCUACCUUCUUAACAACGCUAUCAACAAGGCAGGUCCUACAGACCCUAGUUUCUACCUUCUUAACAACACUAUCAACAAGGCAGGUCCUACAGGCCCUAGUUUCUACCUUCUUAACAACACUAUCAACAAGGCAGGUCCUACAGGCCCUAGUUUCUACCUUCUUAACAACACUAUCAACAAGGCAGGUCCUACAGGUCCUAGUUUCUACCUUCUUAACAACGCUAUCAACAAGGCAGGUCCUACAGGCCCUAGUUUCUACCUUCUUAACAACACUAUCAACAAGGCAGGUCCUACAGGCCCUAGUUUCUACCUUCUUAACAACACUAUCAACAAGGCAGGUCCUACAGGCCCUAGUUUCUACCUUCUUAACAACGCUAUCAACAAGGCAGGUCCUACAGGCUCUAGUUUCUACCUUCUUAACAACACUAUCAACAAGGCAGGUCCUACAGGCCCUAGUUUCUACCUUCUUAACAACACUAUCAACAAGGCAGGUCCUACAGGCCCUAGUUUCUACCUUCUUAACAACACUAUCAACAAGGCAGGUCCUACAGGCCCUAGUUUCUACCUUCUUAACAACACUAUCAACAAGGCAGGUCCUACAGGCUCUAGUUUCUACCUUCUUAACAGCACUAUCAACAAGGCAGGUCCUACAGGCCCUAGUUUCUACCUUCUUAACAACACUAUCAACAAGGCAGGUCCUACAGGCUCUAGUUUCUACCUUCUUAACAACACUAUCAACAAGGCAGAUCCUACAGGCUCUAGUUUCUACCUUCUUAACAACACUAUCAACAAGGCAGAUCCUACAGGCCCUAGUUUCUACCUUCUUAACAACACUAUCAACAAGGCAGAUCCUACAGGCCCUAGUUUCUACCUUCUUAACAACACUAUCAACAAGGCAGGUCCUACAGGCUCUAGUUUCUACCUUCUUAACAACACUAUCAACAAGGCAGGUCCUACAGGCUCUAGUUUCUACCUUCUUAACAGCACUAUCAACAAGGCAGGUCCUACAGGCCCUAGUUUCUACCUUCUUAACAACACUAUCAACAAGGCAGGUCCUACAGGUCCUAGUUUCUACCUUCUUAACAGCACUAUCAACAAGGCAGGUCCUACAGGCUCUAGUUUCUACCUUCUUAACAACACUAUCAACAAGGCAGAUCCUACCAGCCCUAGUUUCUACCUUCUUAACAACGCUAUCAACAAGGCAGGUCCUACAGGCUCUAGUUUCUACCUUCUUAACAACACUAUCAACAAGGCAGGUCCUACAGGCCCUAGUUUCUACCUUCUUAACAACACUAUCAACAAGGCAGGUCCUACAGGCCCUAGUUUCUACCUUCUUAACAGCACUAUCAACAAGGCAGGUCCUACAGGCCCUAGUUUCUACCUUCUUAACAACACUAUCAACAAGGCAGGUCCUACAGGCCCUAGUUUCUACCUUCUUAACAGCACUAUCAACAAGGCAGGUCCUACAGGCCCUAGUUUCUACCUUCUUAACAACACUAUCAACAAGGCAGGUCCUACAGGCCCUAGUUUCUACCUUCUUAACAACACUAUCAACAAGGCAGGUCCUACAGACCCUAGUUUCUACCUUCUUAACAACACUAUCAACAAGGCAGGUCCUACAGGCCCUAGUUUCUACCUUCUUAACAACACUAUCAACAAGGCAGGUCCCACAGGCCCUAGUUUCUACCUUCUUAACAACACUAUCAACAAGGCAGGUCCCACAGGUCCUAGUUUCUACCUUCUUAACAGCACUAUCAACAAGGCAGGUCCUACAGGCCCUAGUUUCUGCCUUCUUAACAACACUAUCAACAAGGCAGGUCCUACAGGCCCUAGUUUCUACCUUCUUAACAGCCCUAUCAACAAGGCAGGUCCUACAGGCCCUAGUUUCUACCUUCUUAACAACACUAUCAACAAGGCAGAUCCUACAGGCCCUAGUUUCUACCUUCUUAACAGCCCUAUCAACAAGGCAGGUCCUACAGGUCCUAGUUUCUACCUUCUUAACAACACUAUCAACAAGGCAGGUCCUACAGGCCCUAGUUUCUACCUUCUUAACAGCCCUAUCAACAAGGCAGGUCCUACAGGUCCUAGUUUCUACCUUCUUAACAACACUAUCAACAAGGCAGGUCCUACAGGUCCUAGUUUCUACCUUCUUAACAACACUAUCAACAAGGCAGGUCCUACAGGCCCUAGUUUCUACCUUCUUAACAACACUAUCAACAAGGCAGGUCCUACAGGCCCUAGUUUCUACCUUCUUAACAACACUAUCAACAAGGCAGGUCCUACAGGUCCUAGUUUCUACCUUCUUAACAACACUAUCAACAAGGCAGGUCCUACAGGUCCUAGUUUCUACCUUCUUAACAACACUAUCAACAAGGCUGGUCCUACAGGCCCUAGUUUCUACCUUCUUAACAACACUAUCAACAAGGCAGAUCCUACAGGCCCUAGUUUCUACCUUCUUAACAGCCCUAUCAACAAGGCAGGUCCUACAGGCCCUAGUUUCUACCUUCUUAACAACACUAUCAACAAGGCAGAUCCUACAGGCCCUAGUUUCUACCUUCUUAACAGCCCUAUCAACAAGGCAGGUCCUACAGGCCCUAGUUUCUACCUUCUUAACAACACUAUCAACAAGGCAGAUCCUACAGACCCUAGUUUCUACCUUCUUAACAGCCCUAUCAACAAGGCAGGUCCUACAGGCCCUAGUUUCUACCUUCUUAACAACACUAUCAACAAGGCAGAUCCUACAGGCCCUAGUUUCUACCUUCUUAACAGCCCUAUCAACAAGGCAGGUCCUACAGGUCCUAGUUUCUACCUUCUUAACAACACUAUCAACAAGGCAGGUCCUACAGGCCCUAGUUUCUACCUUCUUAACAGCCCUAUCAACAAGGCAGGUCCUACAGGUCCUAGUUUCUACCUUCUUAACAACACUAUCAACAAGGCAGGUCCUACAGGUCCUAGUUUCUACCUUCUUAACAACACUAUCAACAAGGCAGGUCCUACAGGCCCUAGUUUCUACCUUCUUAACAACACUAUCAACAAGGCAGGUCCUACAGGCCCUAGUUUCUACCUUCUUAACAACACUAUCAACAAGGCAGGUCCUACAGGUCCUAGUUUCUACCUUCUUAACAACACUAUCAACAAGGCAGGUCCUACAGGUCCUAGUUUCUACCUUCUUAACAACACUAUCAACAAGGCUGGUCCUACAGACCCUAGUUUCUACCUUCUUAACAGCACUAUCAACAAGGCAGGUCCUACAGGCCCUAGUUUCUACCUUCUUAACAACACUAUCAACAAGGCAGGUCCUACAGGCCCUAGUUUCUACCUUCUUAACAGCACUAUCAACAAGGCAGGUCCUACAGGCCCUAGUUUCUACCUUCUUAACAACACUAUCAACAAGGCAGAUCCUACAGGCCCUAGUUUCUACCUUCUUAACAGCACUAUCAACAAGGCAGAUCCUACAGGCCCUAGUUUCUACCUUCUUAACAGCACUAUCAACAAGGCAGAUCCUACAGGCCCUAGUUUCUACCUUCUUAACAGCACUAUCAACAAGGCAGGUCCUACAGGCCCUAGUUUCUACCUUCUUAACAGCACUAUCAACAAGGCAGAUCCUACAGGCCCUAGUUUCGACGUACCUGGACUACUGUUCAGUCGUCUGGUCAAGUGCCACAAUGAGGUGCCACAACUGGCUCAGAACAGGGCAGCAUAGUAAUCAAACUGCCUUACUGUGUUUGUGA
Oncorhynchus kisutch (coho salmon) is the source of this 4329-nucleotide long non-coding RNA. The record is from Ensembl. Lineage: Eukaryota; Metazoa; Chordata; Actinopteri; Salmoniformes; Salmonidae.